This 1762-nucleotide long non-coding RNA is filed under the name Chinchilla lanigera (long-tailed chinchilla). Its description in RNAcentral is "lncRNA (ENSCLAG00000026528.1)". Lineage: Eukaryota; Metazoa; Chordata; Mammalia; Rodentia; Chinchillidae. The record is from RNAcentral.
GAACAAAAAAUUGGCUACCUGACUCCGGAAGACACAGUGGUUCUUCUCAAGCUGAGGGUGCAGACGGGAAAUCUAUAGAAAUAUCCUGCUUUUCUCCUAGAGGUGGUAGAUCACAUGGGAAGGUCAAGGUAAGCCUCCCAAGCCAAAGCCUGACUACUCCGGGUUCUGAGGAUUGAGCUACCUAUUUCUUCCAUGCUUCUGGUAUGUUUUGCACCCUUAGGUUCCUUUUGGUCCUGGAAGGAAGACUUUUAUCCAAGAGUCUUUGUUUCAUGCCUAGUCUUGAGGUCUCCUAGGAGUUUCUGGUAGUUACCAUGGGAAACCACAAAUAUGGGAAAAUCUUACGUGUUUUAGCCAAUGACAUCAUCACAAAGAAAGAAAGAAAACAAAGGAAACCGGCCACACAUUGUCAGGUUGUCUUGAGCUUGUCCUCAUGAAUGUGUUGGUCAUGCUUCUGAAAUUGAUCACUUCCUACCCCUCAUUUUAUCUUUCUCUUUGCAUUCCCAGAUCUGGUACAUGGGUUCAUUGUAUUUUUCUUUUAUAGGUUAACUAGUCAUCUUUCUCCAAAAAGCUUAUAGUGAGAAUCACCACCUCUCACAGAAAUUACCAGGCAGAGUUAGUUUCUGAUGGAAUCUCCUGCCUUAGUUCUUCCUAUUCCUGCCUUGAUGUGACUACCUGGGAGGUGCAGAUCCCAAAUACAGACCUUCCCUCCCACUGUCACUUGCCGUCCCCACUCACCGUCUUUCUGUGAGCAGCCGAGAGCGUGGAGUUGGGACCAGGCAGGCAGAUGAGAAGAAAGAGGCAGAAGAGACAAAGGCUUCUGGGAAAAGAGGUGGGCAGCUCCAACGAUGAGGCAUCAGGCAGAAAGUGGAGACCCCAGGAGCCCACAAAUCUUCAUGGAACGGUCUUGGGGUGGAUGGAAAAUGGGCUGGAUGGUCUGCAGGCAGCAGGUACCCAGAAGAAGCACAGAGUUUCGGGGAUGGAUGGAUCCUGACCAAGGAUUCUGCCUCAACUUGAAAAUUUUGUCUAGAGCUAAGACACAAAGCAGGAUGCUUGUGAGAAAACAGUGCCACCUUGUCCAGAAAGGAAGCUCCAGUGAAGUUGCAGCCUGCAAAGAUGGACAGAGGAAAAACUGGUCACUGAAAAGACUAGCAAGAAAAAGCCAGAUACUUCAAGAGAAGACAACAGAAAAAAAUGCCCUAGGAAAACAUAAGGACCAGUAGGAUUUCAGGCUUUGCAACCUCAGAGUUGCAAAAGUGAAAAACUUUGCUCUGAGAAGAGAGUCCCAGGACAUCAUGUUCCAGAAUGGCAGCAGUCUGGGGAAGUUAUUCCUCAUGAUUUGGAUAAUAGGCAUUCAUCACCUACAGCCAAGAGAGAGGGAAGCCUAACUACUGUUCCAGCUGGUAACAGGCCUUGGCAUCGUUCAUGUGGUGCUGGUUUUAGGUACAUGUAAAAUGCAAAAGUUGUGGAGUCAGAAAGACUUCCACCCAGAUUUCAGAAGAAGGCCUUGGAGGCCAGGCAGUAUGCCCCUGAGAGGUCAGGUUGUGAAGCUGUGAAUGUGAACCCUAAGGUGCAGUGGAGACCCAGAAGUUUGGAGAUGCCAGAAAUGUAGAUCAUAAGAGGAAAACUUCAAGGAGAUAGUAGAGCUGGCCCAAGAGAGAAGCCAUGGGAGCUACAACCAUUAGCAGUGUGGUGGAGGCACAACCACCCAAGUCUUUUGGGGUUCAUAUCCUGCCACAGAUUGCCUCCGAUGCCACACAUGGAA